AGUGAACGCUGGCGGUAGGCCUAACACAUGCAAGUCGAACGGCAGCACAGUAAGAGCUUGCUCUUACGGGUGGCGAGUGGCGGACGGGUGAGGAAUACAUCGGAAUCUACUUUUUCGUGGGGGAUAACGUAGGGAAACUUACGCUAAUACCGCAUACGACCUACGGGUGAAAGCAGGGGAUCUUCGGACCUUGCGCGAUUGAAUGAGCCGAUGUCGGAUUAGCUAGUUGGCGGGGUAAAGGCCCACCAAGGCGACGAUCCGUAGCUGGUCUGAGCGGAUGAUCAGCCACACUGGAACUGAGACACGGUCCAGACUCCUACGGGAGGCAGCAGUGGGGAAUAUUGGACAAUGGGCGCAAGCCUGAUCCAGCCAUACCGCGUGAGUGAAGAAGGCCUUCGGGUUGUAAAGCCCUUUUGUUGGGAAAGAAAAGCAGCAGGUUAAUACCCCGCUGUUCUGACGGUACCCAAAGAAUAAGCACCGGCUAACUUCGUG
This 492-nucleotide ribosomal RNA is filed under the name uncultured bacterium. RNAcentral describes it as "partial 16S ribosomal RNA". It matches the Rfam family "Bacterial small subunit ribosomal RNA", at positions 29 to 507 of the family's 1533-position model. The record is from RNAcentral.